Molecule: long non-coding RNA, 12841 nt
Filed under: Homo sapiens (human)
Lineage: Eukaryota; Metazoa; Chordata; Mammalia; Primates; Hominidae
Description: non-protein coding lnc-NPIPB11-2:1
Source: RNAcentral
ACUUUACAUACAUUUUCCAACCCGGAGCGGCUUCAACACAUGCAGCUCUUAGGCCCGGGCCGCACAUCUCAGAAGCCCCGUGUGCGACUUUGACUGCCGCACGAUCCUCUGCCGGGGGAGGUGGGCCCGCUGCGCUUUGGGAGCACCCGCGCCCGACACUGAGGUCUCGGUGCUGUCUUCGGCCUCUUCGCCCCUGAGGGUCCCCUCUGGGAGCAGAGGCGGUCGGAAAACCCUGGGGCUGAAGUGCAGGCUUCGGGAGGACGCGACCUGCCAAGAUCAGCUCCCGGCACGUGAUGGGAGCCUGGCUCACCUUCCCCCAGCACACGAUGGGGCUGCAGCCUCCCCGGUCAGCCUGGCCUGCUGGAAAGGAGCAGCUCUGUCUCCAGAGGCUUCUGGCGAAGCCCAUGGCCUCCCAAUGUUGGCUGAUUUAUAAGGAAAGAGGGGAAAGGCCAAGUGUGGAUGCCAUUAGCAUAACCUAAUCCAGACCCCAUGACAAGUCCAGGAUCCUGCAGGGAGAGGGCAUCCUUGAACGUGAAGGACUGGGUUUGGAAACUUGGCCUCCCGGAAGAAAGGUCUCCGGGCCCACCCACACCCCCCUUGUGGACGCCCCCGCAGUCUAAUACACUCCACAGUAAGACGGACCAGGAACAGCAGCAGCCUCCGGUGUCGGCCCAGUGAUCCGGGAGCUCAGAGUGUAGGUACCUGACGGCUUGACUCGUCCCCAGGACAAGGCCUGUGAGUGGGAGAGGGGCACUCUGAGUGUGCGAAUCUGUGAGAGUGUGUGUGUGUCUGGGCACGAGUGUGUAUGCGUGUGUGUGCAUGUAUAUUCACAUGUGUGAGGGUGUGAAUGUGUGUGUCUGUGGGUCUGGGCACAUGAGUGUGUGUGUGCAUAUACUACAUUCACGUGUGAGUGUGCAAAUGCGAGUGUGUCUGUAGGUCUGGGCACGUGUAUGCGUGUGUGUGCGAGUACUAUAUUCGCAUGUGUGAGUGUGCGAAUGUGUGUGUCUGUGGGUCUGGGCACACGAGUGUGUAUGCGUGUGUGUGCAUGUACUAUAUUCACGUGUGUGAGUGUGCGAAUGUGUCUGUGGGUCUGGGCACAUGAGUGUGUGCAUAUACUAUAUUCACGUGUGUGAGUGUGCAAAUGUGUGUCUGUAGGUCUGGGCACAUGUGUAUGCGUGUGUGUGCGAGUACUAUAUUCACGUGUGUGUGAGUGCGAAUGUGAGUGGGUGUGGGUCUGGUCACAUGUAUGUAUGCAUGUGUGCAUGUAUUAUAGUCAUGUGAGUGUGCAAAUGUGUGUGUGGGUCUGGGCACACAAGUGUGUAUGCAUGUGUUUCUAUUGUAUUCAUGUGAGUAUAAGUGCAAAUGUGUGAGUGUGUGUUCUCUGCACACACAAGUGUAUAGGUAUGUGUUUGUGUGUGCAUGCACUGUAUUCAUGUGAGUGUAUGUGAAUGUGUGACUGUGAGAGUUUGAGUGUGCCUGGGUGUCUGGCUAUACUAGUGCAUGUCUGUGUUCGUGUGCAUCAGUCUGGGUGUGCCCGUGUGUGAAUGUGUCUAUGCGUGGGUGUCCCAAUAUGUGUGUGCCUGUGUAUCCAUGUCUGGGUGUGCCUGUGAGUGUGAGUGUGCGCAUGGGUGUCUGGAUAUGUGAGUGCUUGUGACUACCUGUGUGUGUAUCCAUGUCUAGGUGUGCCCGUGGGUGUGAGUGUGUCUGUGCGUGGGUGUCUGGAUACGUGUGUGCCUGUAUGAGUGUGUAUCCAUGUCUGGGUGUGCCCACGGGUGUGAGUGUGAAUAUGUAAGUCUUGCGUGUGCAUGAGUGUGUUCACAUGAGUGUGAGGGUCUGUGCAUAAGAGCCUAUUGUGAGUGCAUGUGGAUUGCAUUUAUGUGAGUCCGUGUCUGUGUGCACGCACGUGUCCCCGCACAAGCCAGCCCGAGAGGGAGUGUCCCCUGAACACACCCUGGCAGCACUUGCAGCGUGAUGAGGUUGAGGGAAUGUGUCGCUGAGGUCGUAAAUGCCUCUCGCACGUCCCAACACGCUGGAGCAACAGCAGCCCGUGAUGCCGGCCGCGCAGCCGUGAAGUCCGUGGAGCGUCCCUAAUCACUGGGGGUUCUGCUUUGCGGUGACAGCGGUGCUACUCACAGCUCCAGAACUCUGCAGCUUCCCCCCUGAAACGGGAACGGGAAGGUGGCGCGGGCGUCCACACCUCGAGCCACAGCCGGCGGGAGGCACAGGCUGGCAAAACUGCCUCUCAGUAGUGAGAAGAGACAAACAAACCGAACGCCAGGAGCAGAGGAAACGAAGACGAUGUGGCCAAGAAAAAUUGCAUUUUUCUUUCCAGUUUUGCUAAAAUAGCCUUCUCAUUGGCUGCGGCUUUGGAGGUGGCAGAAAUCAUACGUUUAAUCACGGCGCCCUCCUGCUUGCCAAGGUUAGCAGGGGCUGUACUGCUGUGCCCUCCUGUCCCUGGAGGCUCUGGUGGCCCCACUCCCCACACUGCCAGGCUGGGUGCCACGCUGCCGUGACCCCGGAAUUCAGCCUGUGGUGAUCGGUCUUCCCUAGCACGGAGCUGAGUUAGGGGCUCUAGAAUCAGUCCCAGCCACGUGAGGCUCUCCCUGGGAUGUGAGGGUCGUCUCGUCUGUUUACACGGGGGCCACAGUGCAGAUCCCAGCCCGGGCAGGGGAGGGGCAAAUCUAUGCCCACUUCAAGCUUCCACUUCUGCCCGCCUCAAAGUGCCGGAGACUCCGGCACCUCUGCGUUCCUCCUUCCCGGUAGGAACAGAAAGCUGGGAAAGGGCUGGGGUGGCAAGGAAGAGCCCCAGGAAGACGGGAGUGGCUCUCCCCACUCCCUAGAGGACCUCCCUCCCCCAAGCCCAUGGGCCGCCUUCUCCAGGGACUCUUCCCUGUCCCACCCACCGGGCAAGGUGGGCCCAGCAGGGUCUCCUUUUCACCGUGCGCCCCCUCCUGUGGCCGGGUCCUGGGCUAAUGACCUCACAUGCUGCUUUUACAAGUCAGGUUUAUUGCGGUAUCACGUACACACAUAAGGCUCACCCGUUUUCGAUGUACAGCCGACGACUUGGUAAGGGUCUAGAGUGGGGCACUUCUGCCCCGACAGAGGCAGCCCACAUUUUGCCCCUCUGCAGUCAGGCCCCUUCCCGGCCCCCAACCACCACCUGUCUCUCCUCGCUCCUACAGCUUUGCGUCCUCCAGAAUUGUCCUGUGAGUGACUCCCGCAGGAUGGAGACUUUUGUGUCUGGCUUCCUUCACUUCGCAGCAGGCUUCGCGGGACCCGUGUGGUGGCACCAGCGUCCAGCCCUUGGUACUGCUGAGUUGUAGGUUGUGGGACAGGUGGAGGUACCACAGUUGCUCACGGGUUCACCUGUGGAUGGGCAUGUGGGCUGUUGUGAGUGAAGCCACUUCAGACGUUUGCGUGCAGGUUUGGUGGGGACGUGCAGUUUCAUUUCUUUUGAGAGUGGGAUUGCUGGAGCCUAUGUUAAGGGUACGUUCAACUCAUCAGCUCAACUGUCUUCCAAAUGGCAGCCCCGUUUUCCACCCCCGCCAGCAACGCCCGCGACUCCAGGCGCGCUGCAUUUUCAUCAGCACCUGGCAGUGGUGAUUCAUAAUGCUUUAAAUGUUAAUUUCCCUCAUGACUAGUGAUGUUAAACAUCUUAUUAAACAUCUUAGGUAUUAUUUCAUGUGUUAUUUCAAAUCUUUUACCUACUUUUUAGUGGAUUAUAUUUGUCUUCUUAGUAUUGAGUUCUAAGAGUUAAAUAUUGUGGGUACAAGUCCUCUAUCAGAAAUGUGUUUUGUAAAUACUUUCUUCUAGUCUGUGGUUUGUCUCUUCGUUUUCUUAAGUAUGUCUUUAAAGAGCAGAGGCUUUUGAUUUGGAUAAAGUUCAGCUUGUCAGUUUUUUCUUUUAGGGUUAUGUUUUUGUAUCCUAUCUAAGAAUCUUUGACUAUCAAAUUCUCACAAAGCAGUUUUUUGUUUUCUUCUAGAUGUUUUACGGUUUUAAAUUUUACCUUUAGGUCUACAACCAUUGUGAUUUAGAUUUUGUAUUUAAUGUAAGGUAUAAGUUGAGAUUCAUUUCUCUCUGUUUUUGGAGACUUAUGUCCAGCUAUUCCAGAACCAUUUGUUGGAAAGAGUAUCUUUAUCCCAACAAGUUAUGUGGGCACUUUGUUGAAAAAGAUCUAUUGACCAUAUAUACAUGCGUUUAUUUCCAAGACUCUAUUUUGUUCUGUUGACCGACUUGUUUGUCCUUAUGACAAUAUCACACUGUUUUGAUUACAGUGGCAUUAUUGUACCUCUUGCAAAAAUCAAGUGUGAAUCUUCCAAAGAAGAUUUGGAAGAUUUUCUCUUUCAAAGUUGUGUGAGUUAUUUAAGUGCCUUUUCAUUUUCAUAUAAGUUUAGAAUUAGCUUGCAGUUUCUAAAAGAAAAAAAAAAAGGCUGAUGAGACUUUGAUUGUGAUUCCAUUGGAUCUAUAGCUCAGUUUGCAGGGAUUUACAUCUUAACAAUACUGAGUCCUCAAAUCCAUGAACAUGGUACAUCUCUCCAUUUAUUUAGGUCUUCUUGUAUUUUUUCUCAUCAACAUCUUAUAGUUUUAAGUAAACAAAUUUUGCACAUAUUUUGUAAGAUUUAUCAUUAAGUAUUUCAUGUUUGUGAUGUUAUGGUGAAUAUUGUUUUUAAAUUCAAUUUCCUAUUGUCCACUGCUAGUAUACGGAAAUACAAUUGGUUUUCAUACAUUAACCUUAUGUCCAGCAACUUUGCUAAAUGUAUAAGCUCUUACACAUUUGCUGGUAGAUUGUUUAGGAUUUUCUACAUAGAUGAUCAUGUUGAGUGCAUAUAAAGGCAAUUUUAUGUCUUAUUUCCAAUCUGCAUGCCUUUCACUUCUUUUCCUGGCUUUAUUUCAGUGGCUAGAACCUCUAGCACAGUGUUAAUAAGAGUGAUGAGAGUGACAUUCUGACUUUGUUUCCAGUCUUUCUGCUUUGAUCAUUAUCAUAUUCUUUCUUUUCCUUACUUCGAAUUUAUUGUGCUCUUCCUUUUCUAGGCUUUUAAGGGUAGAAGCUUAGAUUACUGAUUGGAGAACUUUCUUCUUUUCACAUAUAUACAUUUAAUGCUAUAAAUGUUCUUCCAAGCACUGCCUUGCCAGCACCUACAAAUUGUCAUAUGUAUUUUCUUUUUUGCUCAAUUAAUUUUUUUUUCUAAUUUCUCUUUGGAUUUUUUGAUCUAUGAGUCAUUUUAAAAUAUGUUCUUUAACUUCCAAAUAUUUGAAGAGACAUACUAUUAAUUUCUGGCUUAAUUCUGUUGUGGCCACAUAUUUCACAUAACUUCACUUUUUAAAAUUUGUUGAGAUCUGUUUUAUGGCCUGGAAUAUGGUCUAUCUUGGUGAAUGCUCCAUGUGCAUUUGUACAAAAGUGUGUAUUCUGGCCAGGAGUGGUGGCUCACGCCUGUCAUCCAAACACUUUGGGAGGCCGAGGCGGGUGGAUCACGAGGUCAGGAGAUCAAGACCACCCUAGCCAACACAGUGAAACCCCGUCUCUAUUGAAAAUACAAAAAAUUAGCCAGGCGUGGUGGCGGGCACCUGUAGUCCCAGCUAUUCGGGAGGCUGAGGCAGGAGAAUUGCUUGAAGCUGGGAGGCAGAGCUUGCAGUGAGCUGAAAUCGUGCCACUGCACUCCAGCCUGGGCGACAGCGAGACUGCGUCUCAAAAAAAAAAAAAAAGUGUAUAUUCUGCUAAUAUUGAAAGUAUUGCUUAAUAAAUGUCAAAUCAAUCAAUUUGGAUGAUAUUGUGAUUCAGGGUUCUAUAUCCUUACUGGUUUCCUGUCUACUUGUUCUAUAGCUUACAGAGAGGAGUAUUGGAGGAGUAUUGAAGUUUCCAACGAUACUCAGGGAUUUUUCUAUUUCUUCUUUACUUUGUGAUCCAUGUGUUUUGAAAUUCUGCUGUUAGGUGCAAGCAUAUUUACAACUGCUAUAUUUUCCUACAGAAUGGCACUUUGUUUGUUUGUUUGUUUAUUUUUUGAGACAGAGUCUCACUCUGUCACCCAGGCUGGAGUGCAGUGGGACCAUGUUGGCUCACUGCAACUUCCAUCUCCUGGGUUCAAGCAAUUCUCCUGCUUCAGCCUUCUGAGUAGCUGGGAUUACAGACACCCACUACCACGCCCGGCUAAUUUUUUUAUAUUUUUAGUAGAGAUAGGGUUUCACCAUGUUGGCCAGGGUGGUCUCGAACUCCUGACCUCAGGUGAUCCGCCCACCUCGGCCUCCCAAAGUGCUGGGAUUACAGGUGUGAGCCACCGUGCCUGGCCAGAAUGGCACUUUCAGGAUCAUAUAAUGUAUCUAUUCAUCUCUGGUAAUAUUCCUUGUUCGGACGUCUAUUUUAUCUGAUACUAACAUCUCUGCCCCAGCUUUCUUUUAAUAGUUCAGAAUAUAACUAUUUCUGUCCCUUACCUUCAAUCCACUUAUGUUUUUAUGUUAUUUUUUUUCUUUUGUAGACAGCAUAGAGUUGGAUCUUGUUUUUAUAUCUACCCAACCUAAAAAUCUGGAUAUUUUUAUUGGGAAGUUGAAUUUAAAUCUACCACCUUGACACUUAUUUUGUAUUGUCUCAUCUGUUCUUUUUAAAUAAUUUUUCCUUUUUUCUUCCUUCUAUUGGAUCAAGAACUUUUUUUAAAGUGAAAGCCAAUUUAUUAAGAAAGUAAAGGAAUAAAAGAAUGGCUACUCCAUAGGCAGGGCUGCUGAGUAUUUUUUUAUUAUUUCAUUUCAUCUUCACUAUUGCCUUGUUAUACCUCUUAGUGUAGCUAUUCAUGGUUGCAAUAGGGCUUAUGAUAAAGUUACAGCUGUAGCUUCUCAGUCUGCCAUUACACAAUAUUCUACCACUUCACAUACAUGUAGUAACCUGACAGCAGCGCCUGUACUUCCUGCCUCCCAUCCUUGGUACUGUUGUUACCACAGAUUUGCUUCUGCAUGUUACAAACCCCACAAUACACUUUUCCCGUCUUUGCUUCAGGUAGUCAAUUAUCUUUUUGUUUGUCUUUGGAUAUCUUUUUAAAGAUAUAAUCCACAUACGUAAAAUGCACCCAUUUAAAGCAUGCAGUUCCAGAGACCAGAGGUUCUCAAACUCUGUAUGGGAAUCACACAGGUUCCUGGUAAAAGGCAGACUUCCAGGCCCCUGCUGGAGUUUCUGACUCAGCAGGUCUGGGUGGGGCCUGAGAAUCUGAAUUUAUAGCAAGUUCACAGGUGAACAUUUGUGUGGCUAUCAAGGGACACCUGGGGCCGGGCAACUUCUAAAGAAAAGUGGUCUCUUUGGCUCACAGUUCUGCAGGCUGUACAAGAAGCCUGGCAACAGAAUCUGCUUCUGGUGGGGCCUCAGCCUGCUCCCACUUAGGGUGGAGGGUGAAGGGGAGCCAUGUGUGCAGAGGGCACAGUGGGAGAGGAAGCCAAAGGGAGGGAGGGGCCACGCUCUUUUAACACCUGGCUCACGCAGGAACUAAUUGAGCAAGGGCCCGCUCAUGACUGGCAGGUGGGGUCGGCAGGAAGCCAUUCCUGAGGGAUCUGACCCUUGACCCAAACCCCUGUCCGUAGGCCUCACUCCAACACUGGGGAUACAUUUCAACAUGAGAUGUGGAGGGGACACACGUCCAAACCACAGCACCAGGCAAUGCUUACACUGCGGGUCUGGGGCCCACUCCGAGAAUUACUGCUCCGGACAAAAUUACACACACGGACCAUGCACCCACCCACAGGAUCACACGCCCGUCUUCGGGUUGGGGGUGCAGGGAGGACGGGUAGAGAUGUGUUGGGGUGCAAAGGAAAAGUCCUCAUGGCCCACAUAUGUGCUCUGACCCCGUGGCUCUGCAGAAACCCAUGAAAGAGGAUCCUGAAAGAGCAAGGGCAGCCUCCAGGUGAAGGUGGUGGGCGGCCUCCAGGUGAAGGCGGCCUCCAGGUGAAGGUGGUCAGCACCCUACCUUUGGCCAAGAGCAGACUGCAGUUUCAACUCAAAGAUUAUUCCUGAAUGAGUGAGUGACUGCAUCUCUCUUCUCCUCACCCCUGCUGUGGUUGUGUCUCCUCUUCAAGAAAAACCAAUAUGUGGAAAGGCCUAAGUCUGCACAAAACAAAUAUUUAUUUUACAAAAUAUUGUUUUUUGCUUUUCCAGUGCAGCAAGCUUAAACUUCCUUAAAAACAAACCUCUGGGAAGAGGAAAAUGAGGCAAGAUGCUGAGAAAAAGUCAUCUCCCACUCUGCCCUUCUCUGGCAAAUCGAAGUGUCCUCUUGUGGGAGGCGGUGGGCAGCGACACUCCCGUUGGACGUCAGUGCUCUCGGGCCCGGCCACCCCGGAGCAGAACUCACUUAGGGCCUGGUGCCCCUGUGCCCAGUUCUCAGAAUGUCGGAGUGCUCAGUUCUCAGAACGCCGGAGUGCCCCAUUCAUAACCUGCAGCCCCGUUCAUAGCCUGCAGCUCCCCUCCUUCCUCUCCUCCUGGUCUUCAGGGAGCACCCCCAGCUCCCCUCCCCACUCUCAAACCCUCCUCCUCCCUCCCCUCUCUCAGUUCCCUGUUUGCAGGAUCUCCUCCUGCCCACUCUCCAGCCCAGGUCCUCCCCUCUCAUCUCCAAUUCUGCUUCACGGGCCAUGACAGCAGGCAGGCCAUGGCCUGCUCUCAGCAGUUUGAUCGAUGGACUAAGGAGAUCACUCCUACGAGAGUGAAAAAGUCAAGUGUGCCUGAGAUUCGGAUGGGGAGCUCUCAAAGCUAUGGAUUGCAAGAGUCAACACCGCCUCAAAAGUACAAGGCCGGCCGGGUGCAGUGGCUCACACCUUUAAUCCCAGCACUUUGGGAGACUGAGGUGGGUGGAUCACCUGAGGUCAGGAGCUCAAGACCAGCCUGACCAACAUGGUGAAAUCCCGUCUCUAUUAAAAAUACAAAAAAAAUUAGCCAGGUGUGGUGGUGCAUGCUUGUAGAUCCAGCUACUCGGGAGGCUGAGGCAGGGGGAGCACUUGAACCCGGGAGGUGGAGGUUGCAGUGAGCCGAGAUUGCGCCAUUGCACUCCAGCCUGGGCAACAGAGUGAGACCCUGCCUCAAAAAGAUAAAAAAAUAAAAGUACGAGGCCCGGUUUAAAUGCAGGAGGAAUCUGGUGAGCGAGUUUCACUCUGAUGCAACAGAAAAGCCAAGCCAAGCCUUGGCUGUGCCUGAUCUUGGCCGGGGAGCCACAGGCAGGGUCUGCUGGUUUCGGUGUCAGGGGCACAUCGCCAGGACCACGUGUGAGAUGGGAAGUGCCUUGAUGGAAAACUGAUACCUUUUUCUUUCCGAGUAACUUUAGAAUAUGUCGCUUCAAAUAUAACUAAUAUCCUGAUUUCAAUGGACUUGCAUGGAAGGAAACGCAAGUUCAUUUGCCAGUGGGGGGUGAGGACUGGGAGAGUGGGGAGCAGGGUGGGGAAGAGGGGACCAUUCCACAAGCUGCAAGAGCCUGGACACCUCCAGCCUUCAAUAAAUAGCAUUUGAAUUUGCUGUGCCUAAUUCAACCUUGCAUUUGUGUAGUGAAAGUCAGGCCCACGGUGUGUAUAGUUUGGCACAUGAGUUCAGCUCGGGUCCCCUUGAUCUGCUUCUAUGUUCUCACUCUCUCCCUGCCCGGCAUGCCCCUCUUUUUCUAUCCAGAUGAGCGAAGGGGUGAAUUAGUCCAGAAAUGUUUCUGCUCCAGUCAAACAAACAUUAUCACCUGUCAGUCAAACAUUAUCACCUGUCAGUCACCAGAGACGUGCACAGGUGCCUUCUCCUUUGCCUCGAGGUUUCUAUGACCUGGGAAAAGCCCAUCCCAUUCCCGGAUGAGGCUUCCCUGCGACCGGCCACAGACACACGAGCUACGCCCCGCCUUGCCAAAACUUUCAAGGUGGGAUGGAAGAAUCUGUCGUUUCUGCAUUUACGACCCCGUACGUGUUCCGUGCUGCAUCUGUUCUGGUUGGGUUGUCUCUCCUCUCAAGGCCUCUUUUGACCCAAACUUACUGCAAAGCAGAUGAGUGAGCCAGAAGCUGCGCUGGGCGUUGGGGGUUGUGGCAGAGGCUGGGGCUGUAUGUGGGCCGGCAGGCCACGGGCCGACCCACCGCAGGCAGCUUAGCAACCUGCCAAGGACAAACACAUGGUCAUCAUGAUAACAACUUCCCCACCUUCAUUUUUUUUUCAUAUUUCUUUGAGUUUCAAGAUUGAGACUUCUUGUAGCAGCUCUUUAAUUUCAUGGGAGAGAGGGUGGUGUGUGGAGGCCGCCAUUGCCUCUCUGCUAUCCAACGCCCUAGUGGAGAAGCUCCUGGCAGGGGCUGGAGGCAUGGCCUGGCCAAGCUCCUUGGCACUGCAGAACAAAUCUCCUUCUUUGACGCCUCUGAAAUGUUGAUGGAAAGCACACGGGUGUCCCAGCCAGCUCCCCCAGGCCCAGGUCCAAUCCAUCAUGUUCUCUGCACUGCACAUCUCUGGGUGGAUGGCCUCAAGGAGCAGCGCCAGUGAUGUCAGCUCACUCUGGCAUCUCCCAAGACAAAAGCAUCCCAGGGUGGAGAGCAGGAGGCCCUGCGUGAUGAUGGACAGAAGGCUGGAACUUGUGAGCUCCGUGCAGUCUGGUACUAAUAACUCAGGAUCCCCAUCUAAUGGAAGCAUUUUAUGAGCUUCGGUGGGUGCAGGGUGCCAGACGUCCUCAGGCCAUCAGGCUGAGACCCCCCAGCCCUCUGGGAGUGGAGUAGCCCUGGGGUGGCAGGAGGCAGGUGGGAACUUCUACAAGCAAGAGGGCCUGGUUUGAGUCAGCUUCACCACACACUAGCCACCUGGUGUUUCUGAGCCUAUUUGUCGUCUAUGACUUAGGAAGGAUAAUCAUACAGAUUAAGGUAGGAUAAUUCCUAGAUCAUCAUAGAGAUCAGGGCAGUGUCCUCCAACUCCAGAAUUAAAAGGACCAGUGAAACGGAUUUCCUCUGUUUCUGUUUUACUGAUUCUUCCUUUUUUUCUCUUCUCCUUUCUGGGUGGUUGAGUUUAAUUUGCUCUUCUUUCUCUAGUUUCUCAAGGUGAUAACUGAUUUGGGACCUUUUUUCUCUUCUAACAUAAGCAUUGAAUGCUAUACAUUUCCCUCUGAAGUGCGGCUUUAACUGAACUCUAUACAGUGUGAUGGAUUGCAUUUCCGUUUUCAUGCAGUUCCAAAUAUUUUCUAAUUUUCUUAGUGAUUUCUUCUUUGAAACAUGAGUUAUUUAGAAGUGUGUUCUUUAAUUUCAAAUAUUUAGGUAGUCUCCAGACAUCUUUCUGUUACUGAUAUCUAGUUAAAUUAAUCCUCUUGUGGUCAGAAAACAUAUAUUGUAUGAUUUUAAUCUUCUUAAAUUUAGUGGUAUCUAUUUCAUGGCCCAGAAUAUAGUCCACUUUGAUGAAUGUUCCAUGUUUAUUUUGUGGUUAGAGGGAAUUUUCUGUAAGUGCCAAUUAAGGAAAGCUGAUUGGUAACGUUCUUCAAGUCUUCCAUAUGUUACUGACUUUCUGUCUGCUUAUUCUAUCAGUUGUUGAGAGAGGGCUGUGAUGACUUUCUGAUGUGUCUGUUGGUGAGGUUACAGUCCCAGUUACCCAAUCUAAAUCUAUUCUAGGUGCUACUGUGCAGGGAUUUUGCAGGUGUCACUAAAGUCUAUAAUCAGUCCAUGUUAAGUAGGGGAGAUUAUCCUGGCAGGGCCUGACUUAAUCAGUCAGAAGAUCUUAAAAGCUCAGUAAGCCUUUCCCAAAGGAAAGAAGAAAUUUCUCCUAUGAACAACAGCUCCAGCUUGUGUCUGUGUCAUGUCAGCCCAUGUUCACACUUGCAGACAGCCCUCACAAUUACAUUAGCCAAUUUCAUUUACACACACACACACACACACACACACACACACGGUUGACCCUAGAAUAAUGCAGAGGUUGUGGUGCCAACCUUUGCACAAUUAGAAAUCUGCAAAUAACUUUUGACUCCCCAGAAACUUAACUACGAAUACCCUACUGUUGACCAGUAGCCUUACCAAUAACAGAAAUAGUUAUUAAUACAUAUUUUGUAUGUGUAUUAUAUACUGUAUUCUUACAAUAAAGCUAGAGAAAAAUAUUAUAACCAUAAGGAAGAGGAAAUAUAUUUACUAUUGGUAAAGUGGAAGUAGAUCAUUGUAAAGGUCAUCAUCCUCAUUAUCUUCACAUUGGGUAGGCUGAGGCAGAGGAGGAAGAAGAGGGGACUAAUCUUGCUGUAUCAGGGCUGGAAGAGGUGGGAGGAAAUCCACCUAUAAGUGGACCCUGCAGUUCAAACCCAUGUUGUUCAAGGAUCAACUACAGAUAGAUGAUAGAUAGAUAGAUAGAUAGAUAGAUAGAUAGAUAGAUAGAUAGACAGACAGACAGACGACAGACAAAUUCUGCUCCUCUGGUUACACUCUGACUGAACUGAUACAGGGGUACUGAAGCCUCCAGCUAUAAUUUUGAAUUUCUCUAUUUUUCUGUUCAGUUCUAUCAAGUUUUGCUUCAUGUAAGUUAAGUUGUAUUUAAGAAUGUACAUAUUUAGGAUUUUGUGUCCCCUUCAUGAACUGACAACUUGAUCAUUAUGAAAUAACUGUCUUUAUCUCCACUAAUAUGCUUUGCUAGCAAAUCUCUUUUGUUUGCCAUUAAUAGAGCCACUCUAUCUUUCUAUUGAUUAGUGUUAGCAUGAUAUAUCUUUUUUCUACCCUCUUACUUUUAACCUACUUGUGCUUCAUAUUUAAAUUGCAUUUCUUGUAGGCAACAUAUACUUCGGUCUUCCUUCUUUACUGUAUCUUACAAUUGUUGUUCAUAAUUUGGAGGUUAGAUAAUUUACAUUUAAUGUAAUUAUUGAUUAUGUUUGAUUUAAAUUUAUCUUCUUGCUAUUUGUUUUCUAUUUUCCCC